Oryzias javanicus (javanese ricefish) is the source of this 91-nucleotide small nucleolar RNA. The record is from Ensembl. NCBI's taxonomy places the organism in Eukaryota, Metazoa, Chordata, Actinopteri, Beloniformes, Adrianichthyidae.
GAUCUCUGGUGAUGUCUCGCACUGGGCUCAGAGGAAUCAGUGCUGACAGAAGUGCAGCUCUGCUCCUGACAUGGCGGAGUCUGAAGAGAUA